AGUGCACACUGUUAGAGCCCGGUGCUGUCCUGGCUGUGCAGUACGGGGUGUAGGAUGUGUGCUAAAUGAAAAUGCCUGAUCUUUAAUCUUCUUUCUCUGAACCACACAGAGGCUGGAGGUAGAGAUCUUGCCACAAAA
Molecule: small nucleolar RNA, 138 nt
Organism: Acanthochromis polyacanthus (spiny chromis)
Lineage: Eukaryota; Metazoa; Chordata; Actinopteri; Pomacentridae
Source: Ensembl